CAAAAGAAACAAGGCAGCGCAGGAUGAAGGGACAAUUAUUAGCAUCAGUCCACAUUGCAUGUCGCAGUGAUUAUCUAUUUGCAUCAAUAAAAAUGUCGGAGCUUAUCGCUUAAUUUAUAGCUCCCCUGCGAAGCGCCGCAUUAGGCAGCGACCAAGAGCGGAAGCCAUUUCCGACCUGUGCACUGUGCACCUAACCAGCUGGGCAACGACCUGUCAUUUCAGGGAGCCCCACACCUGACCCCAGCUGCUAUGACAAUCAUGUUGUGAGUUUCUCAAUCCUAUACUGUCAUGUUCUUUCAACAACCCUCUAUCCACUAUACCUGUUAUACUGUUGUUUUCAAAUAAACCAAUUUAGUUGUUUUCAGCAUUGUAAUACCCAAUGCAUUGCAGAAGCUACUCAAACUGCCAGUUAAAAUACAAAAUAAAUUUUAUUGUGAAGCGUUUCAUGUUGGUCAUUGUCCCAUCAAGUUGCUACCAUUCUGUAUGAUGUACAGAAGAGACCUGAGAGUGAUGCCGAUUGUAACCUCUACUUUCCGUACAUUUUCAGGUCUCCGAAUACCCUUCUCUGUUAAUGUGUUUUCUUCCCACCACCCAGUUAAUCACUCCUUCCCCUCGGAAGUAUCAGCAGGACAGAACCUGGUGUAAAGUACCCACUUGGAAGAAUCCCCUUCAACUACACCACAAAUAGGUUCAGGACCAAGCCUGUUACAGCUGACUCCAACCCAGGCUGACCCCGGGGCAUAUGCUCAUGAUACUACUCAGAGCCGGAAGGUGUUUUGGCCUAUGAACUUUGGCUCCUCAGACGGGGGUAGACUGCCCCCGACUCAAGAGGAAAGCCUUGAGGACAGAGCUGCUUUGUGACAAGGAGUUUGACAAGCAAAGGACAUAUCUACUGUUGUUGUACUCCUGACUCUGCAGGGGGUCAACCUGAUACAAGCAUAAAUAAAGUGUUUUUAUAUAUCCGCUUUAAUAUAGAUAUUCACCAUUCUC
Oncorhynchus gorbuscha (pink salmon) is the source of this 990-nucleotide long non-coding RNA. RefSeq lists it as uncharacterized. The transcript is spliced from 3 exons. NCBI's taxonomy places the organism in Eukaryota, Metazoa, Chordata, Actinopteri, Salmoniformes, Salmonidae. The record is from RefSeq and is a predicted model, not a curated record.